GCCCUUGGAGGAAAGUAGGGGAUCGAAAGACCUUGCGCUUAAGGAGCGGCCGAUGUCUGAUUAGCUAGUUGGUGGGGUAAAGGCCUACCAAGGCGACGAUCAGUAGUUGGUCCGAGAGGACGACCAACCACACUGGGACUGAGACACGGCCCAGACUCCUACGGGAGGCAGCAGUGGGGAAUUUUGGACAAUGGGCGCAAGCCUGAUCCAGCCAUGCCGCGUGAGUGAAGAAGGCCUUCGGGUUGUAAAGCUCUUUCAGUUGGGAAGAAACGAUUACAACUAAUAAUUGUAAUUAAUGACGGCACCGACAGAAGAAGCACCGGCUAACUACGUGCCAGCAGCCGCGGUAAUACGUAGGGUGCGAGCGUUAAUCGGAAUUACUGGGCGUAAAGGGUGCGCAGGCGGUUUUGUAAGUCAGAUGUGAAAUCCCCGGGCUUAACCUGGGAAUGGCGUUUGAAACUACAAAGCUAGAAGGGC
This 477-nucleotide ribosomal RNA is filed under the name uncultured ammonia-oxidizing bacterium. RNAcentral describes it as "bacterial SSU rRNA". It matches the Rfam family "Bacterial small subunit ribosomal RNA", at positions 192 to 650 of the family's 1533-position model. The record is from RNAcentral.